AAGCAUUAAACAUUUCGAGCAGUAAAAAGGCAAUAUAAAGUCUAGUAUUUAAGCAAAAUUGUGUUUAUUUAACAGUCAACAAAAGGGGUUCCCAUCAAUUUGUUUCAAAAUGUCAACAGAAUUUGUGGAACAGUCAAAAAUGAAUUCAUAUCAAAAUGUCAAAAUCAGCCAUUUCUUGUAUAGAUUAAAUUAUGACACUAAGAUAUCUAUGGACUCCAAAUCAGCCAAGUUGUAAGGACAAAAUCUAGAGGUAAAUUAUGCGCUAUGAUGCUUAUUAUACAAUUAUAUAUAAAGAUGAUUAAUUUCAGAGUAAAACUCCAAUAGCAAGGUUAACAGGUCUGUUUUGAUUUUGAGUUAUUCUCAUCAGACUAUCAGAGUAAUUACAAAUUUUGUUAAUAAAUGUUUCUAUCAAAUUUAACGAAAUUCCCGAUAUAGCCACAUAAUUAAACUAAUCACCAUCAAAUUUAAUGAAACUUCAAAUUUAUUUAAAAGUAAACAAAAGAAGUUUCAGUAAAGACAAGUUCAGGGGUGCUCAAAAUGGGUUUAAGUAUUUGAUUCAGGAAUGGAGAAAUAUUUUAAAAAGUAAUGAGACCAAAUCAGAUUCGUUAACAUUUUGGUUAAUUGCACAAUUAAUUGCACAACUGUGUAGAGAUCCCAACAAAAAUUGAUAAAAAUUACUUAAAAUAAGAACCAAAUUAGACUAAAAGCAAUCCAUGAAUAUAUAUAUAGUAUAAUUAAUUGCUAAUUAGGUGACAUUCACUGAUUCACACGAACAUAUUCUUGCAAAAAAAAAAACAAAUAAAGGAUGAAAGCUUACCAAAACAGCAGUGAGAAAGAGAUAUUACAAAGAUCGACAAACGAUUCCUCCGAACAAGCGAUCGCGUGCGAGGUCAAGAGGGAUUGCGUCGACGAAUGAUCCUUCCCAAUGUGGCCAUCGUGUGCGAGGUCGAGAGGAUGCGGACAAGUUCGAAAACCCUAGAAAAGCUGUAGAAGAGAAAAACCCUAGAAGUAGUCGGAGGAGACGGAGUGGGAGAGGGCGAUCGGGUGGAGCGGGAGAGAGGCUUUUGGGUCUGUGCGUAGN
Molecule: long non-coding RNA, 1081 nt
Filed under: Ananas comosus (pineapple)
Lineage: Eukaryota; Viridiplantae; Streptophyta; Magnoliopsida; Poales; Bromeliaceae
Description: long non-coding RNA (ACOM_LNC010366)
Source: RNAcentral